ACGUAGGCAGCAAGCGUUGUUCGGAAUUACUGGGCGUAAAGAGUGUGUAGGCGGUGUUCUAAGUCUGUUGUGAAAUCUCCCGGCUUAACCGGGAGGGUGCGGCGGAAACUGGAAUGCUAGAGGAUGGGAGAGGUAAGCGGAAUUCCUGGUGUAGCGGUGAAAUGCGUAGAUAUCAGGAGGAACACCUGUGGUGUAGACAGCUUACUGGACCAUUUCUGACGCUGAGACACGAAAGCGUGGGUAGCAAACAGGAUUAGAUACCCUGGUAGUCCACGCCCUAAACGAUGCAUACUUGGUGUGAGCGAUUCAUUUCGUUCGUGCCGGAGCUAACGCGUUAAGUAUGCCGCCUGGGGAGUACGGUCGCAAGGCUG
RNAcentral lists this ribosomal RNA (371 nucleotides) under uncultured bacterium. RNAcentral's name for it is "bacterial SSU rRNA". It matches the Rfam family "Bacterial small subunit ribosomal RNA", at positions 525 to 896 of the family's 1533-position model. The record is from RNAcentral.